This 1183-nucleotide long non-coding RNA is filed under the name Lynx pardinus (Iberian lynx). The record is from RNAcentral. Lineage: Eukaryota; Metazoa; Chordata; Mammalia; Carnivora; Felidae.
CCCUUGGUGUGCAGGUAAGGGCCACAGGGUCUGGGUGAGCACAGGUGGCCCUCCCUUCUCACUGACCAGUCUGUGUGGGAACGNNNNNGGGGGGGUGGGGGUGGUCUCAGAGGACCUGGCUGGCCUACACCAUCGGUGUCGUGCUGGUUCCCAGAAGUGAGCCGAACAGCAGCUGGCAUGGGGUGUCCUGCAGAUGCCAUUGCCAAAUCUGUUGCCCUGGCUGGUGGUCUAGCCCCGGGCUGGCCUCUCGGAAACCUCCCCCCUCACCUCCAGGUUCUGGCACUGUGGGUGUCCGGGCUGACUGCUCUGGGGCACUGGGACGUUGCUGUCUCUGUGGUCAAGGGACUGACUGACAUCAGCCCGGGCUCACGUGGGUCCAGGCUGGACCGGACGGGCUGGCUCCUCUCCCACCUGCGAUGUGUGGUCAUCCCCAGGCAGCUUGCGGCCACCCUUGGACCAGCCUUCCGGCCUUCCUUCCAGCUGCUGGCCUUGGCUCACUCCUUCUUCUGCCCUGGUCCUGUCAGCUGCUUUGUGAGACAGGGCUGAAGGUCCCUGAGACUGAGGUGACCUUCGCUCCUCCUGGAGUCCUGGAUUGAAGAUCUGGAUUGGCGUUUGCCCAGCAAAAAAACCUGUCCAGUUUGUUUUUCUGUGUCCCUGCGACCAUGGGGUCAGGGACACCAUGGGGGGCAGGGGCUGGACCCUAGGGUAGGGUCACUUCUGCCAGCCUGUGGGUCUUCCUAAGUGAGGUGGGGUCUCGCCAGCUCAAGUGGACCACGAAGGCACACUUGUGGACGCCUUGAUGCGAACCUGCACACUGCGGUCGUGGUGGAGACUGGGAUCGUGUCCUGGGACCUGGCUCUUAUCUGGGGUACCCAGCUAAAUGAAGGACUCUGUGUCCCGGCUCCCUCUCCCUGUAGCAGCCAUGUGCCUGCGUUCUGUGCAACAACGUGGACGCAGAAGCACAUGACAUCCGGGAGCUGUGUCCUCCUCCCGUCCCCCUGCUGCUUCUGUCUGGAGCCUCAGGGUGACCUUGAACCCAAGAGCAGAGCUUGAGGGAGGCCUGCACCUGGACAGAGCAGGCAGAUGGAGGCUGGCUUCCUGAGGCCUUGUCGGCGACAACACCCAGACCACUGUCUCUGGACUUUGUACUUGACCGAGAAAUAAACGCCUGUCUGGUUUCAAA